GCGGCGCCGAGCAGUCAUCGCCGGCGCGUCCGCUCGGGCGCUGGUUCGAGGUCGAGUCCGAGGGCGCGGGCUUGGCCCCGGGAGCGGCGGCGCCGGAGUCCGCUCAGCGCGCAUGGACGAGCCCGGGCACCCCGAGCGUUCGUGCGCCAGCGAAGGUGAUGGCCCUGCAAGAAGUGUAAAAGGGACAUCCAGCCUGCUUUCAAGAGAACAGCUUUUUGUACUGGUAUCGGCAGCUGCCGUUAACUUAGUUUCUAUGAUGUGCUAUUCUAUCCUUGGACCCUUUUUCUCCAAGGAGGCUGCAAAGAAUGGAGCCAGCAGCACAGUCAUUGCUUGUACAAAUUGGAGCAAAAUUUAUGUUUGUAGCAGGGAUCUUUGUCUCAGGAGGAGUUACAAUUAUCUUUGGGGAAGUUUUGAGAUUUUUUCUGGACUGAAACUAGUGCUCGGGCCUCCUUUAGGUGGCUUCUUAUAUCAAUCCUGUGGCUAUGAGGUGCCUUUUAUUUCUCUGGGAUGCAUAGUUCUGCUGAUGGUACCACUCAACAUACGUAUUUUACCUGAUAAUGAGUCUGAUCCAGGUGAACAUUCAUUCUGGAAACUCAUCACUUUACCCAAGGUCACCCUUAUGGCCUUUGCCGUCAGCUCAGUCAGCUCAUGUUUCGGCUUCCUUGAUAUUAUUCUGUCUCUCUUUGUUUUGGAGAAACCAGCUUUGGAUAUUGUUUCUGGUAUUAGUCAUAAAUGACAUCUCUGCUGGAAUGAGUGUCAUCCCAACUUUCCCAGAGGUUCUCAAUUUGCUUUUAUAGGACUGAUACUGGGUGGAUUUCUGUAUUAAAAAAUUGGUUUUGAAUGGGCAGCUGCUGUCCAAGUUCUGUGGGCUCUGACAAGUAUCUAACCUUCAAAAUAUCCUUGGUACAGAGAAAGAAAUAAUUACUCUCUUGUCUCAUGAAAUCUAGCUUUAAGAAUCCUGGAUUGAUACAAAAUUGUGCGAUUGAUGCUGCUGGCUUUGAACAUCAAAGUUGGAAGGGUUUCCUUAAUUUUACACCCAAAACUCCUUGGAGCCCACACCAGCAUCCUCUAAGUGUCAGCAAGUUUUGGAUGACUCUUUGUUGGGCUGCACUUAACUCUUAUUCUGAAAAGCUGACCUGCAGAACUAGCCAUAUUUGAAACGUUAAGUAUGAGACUAGUUGAAAAUCAGUAGAAGUUUGUGUUAUAAAGUGACUGAACUUGUUCUUGAAGAUGUUAUUGAUGCUAAGACUACUGUUUCCUCUGUUUACUUUUUAUUCCAAGUGUACUGAUUCUGUGAAUGUACCUUUUUUUAUUAACAGAGAAAUGAAUGUCUUAGUAUGCUUAAACAUAAUAUAAAUAUGAUUCAAAAUACAUAGAAUGAUUAUUGUGAAAUCAGUUUUUUUUUAAAUAUGCUUUCUCUGUGUCCUGGGAUUUUGUGUUUGUUCUUGUUCGUAAGGAAGAAUUUGUGCAUAUCAGGCAAAACUCAGGAGCAUUCUUAGACCCUCAGCUCUUCUAAAAAUUGUGUUUGUGUGAAAGGUACAAGAAUAAUAUUACUCAAGACUUCUAUUUUUGUACCACAUUUUGAAUCAUGAUCUAGAUUUAUAAACAAUGCUUGGUAUAACAUUAUUCCUUACCCUUGAUAUCUGCCUCAAUUCUACUCUCGGUUUGUUUUUAAAGCAUACUCCUUCCUGGUAGAUGUAUCUCUUUCCCAGUGUAAGCGAGCCGAUAGGAAUGCUUGUUGUAUUUUAGGGAAGAGGUUCCUCGGACUUUAUGUAAAAUCCAUGCCGUUGAGUGAAGAGAACAAAACUCUAUUGUGCAACUCUAAUAUCUCUG
Manis javanica (Malayan pangolin) is the source of this 1833-nucleotide non-coding RNA. The record is from RefSeq and is a predicted model, not a curated record. NCBI's taxonomy places the organism in Eukaryota, Metazoa, Chordata, Mammalia, Pholidota, Manidae.